This 971-nucleotide long non-coding RNA is filed under the name Actinidia chinensis (golden kiwifruit). RNAcentral describes it as "long non-coding RNA (ACHI_LNC009737)". Lineage: Eukaryota; Viridiplantae; Streptophyta; Magnoliopsida; Ericales; Actinidiaceae. The record is from RNAcentral.
UAUGCAUUCAUAGUAAAUUGAUCUAACAACUCCUUGCUUAUCUCUCUAUAACGAGAUGAGAUCUAUAAGCAUUGUUGUUGUCUUUUUUGCAUUAGCUCUUCUUCUAAGCACCAAACCAAGUGAAGCUAGUAGAAUCUUGCAUGAAGAAAAAGAAGAGUCGAUAAAGAAAGAAAAUCUUUUGUUCCAGUCUUUGCAGAAGGGUCCGGUCCCUCCUUCGGGACGGAACCCUCCUACCUACAUUCCUUCACGUAGCAAUAGAGCAAGUACCAUUAGCCAAAAAGGCUUCGCGGGUCAUGCUAUGCUGCUGCGGCCAACAUUUGGUUUAGCCGAAAAUUAAGCGUAAACAAAGUCCACCAAAAGUCAUCCAAUUUGGGCUCCUUUUUUUUAGUUAAUUUAGUUGUUUUUGUUACAAGUAUUUUUCAUGUUUAAUGAAAUUCUUUUAACUGUUUGAUCAAAAUUUUAUACUCUUUUGAUUUUUCUUGAUGCUAAGAAUUUGAAAAUAUAAACAUUUUAAUCUAUUUUUAAAAAGAAUCACUUAAACAAAAGAUAUCAUUUUUUCUUGAAAAGUAAGCGAAGUUUUUUGUCUUUAAUUAUUGGGAAUUUUUUCUAAAUUUGAACAUUUUUUUAAAAAUUUUCAGAUUCCGCUCAUCAAUAGGAACUGAAAAGCAUAAUAUUUUAAUCAACCGGUUUAAAAUUUUCAUUGAAAACAAAACAAAAAAAACUCAAAAACUAAAACAGCUAAAAUUAAUUCAAAAAAAAGCUAGCCCAAACUGGAUAAACACAAUAAGAACUAUAUCUACCAUUACCCUUCAAGUUGGAGCCUACAAAUAUAAAGUGAUUAGAAUAAGAGUGGUGCAAACCACAUUGUAAUCUACAUUUAUAUGCUUUUGGGUGUAAUAUUUGAUACUGAAUCAUAAUAGAAGAAUGACAACAUGUCUACUGUGAAUAACGCUUUUCUUCUUCACUCAUGA